AGCAGCCGCGGUAACUCCAGCUCCAAUAGCGUAUAUUAAAGUUGUUGCAGUUAAAAAGCUCGUAGUUGAAUUUCGGGAUCAGUAGGCUGGUCGUGCCACAGGUAUGUACUGGUCUCACUGAUUCCUCCUUCCUGAUGAACCGUAAUGCCAUUAAUUUGGUGUUGUGGGGAAACUGGACUGUUACUUUGAAAAAUUAGAGUGUUUAAAGCAGGCUAACGCUUGAAUACAUUAGCAUGGAAUAAUGAAAAGGACGUUGAUCCUAUUUUGUUGGUUUCUAGGAUUGACGUAAUGAUUAAUAGGGAUAGUUGGGGCAUUAGUAUUCAAUUGUCAGAGGUGAAAUUCUUGGAUUUAUUGAAGACUAACUACUGCGAAAGCAUUUGCCAAGGAUGUUUUCAUUAAUCAAGAACGAAAGUUAGGGGAUCGAAGACGAUCAGAUACCGUCGUAGUCUU
This 450-nucleotide ribosomal RNA is filed under the name uncultured Glomeromycotina. RNAcentral's name for it is "SSU rRNA". It matches the Rfam family "Eukaryotic small subunit ribosomal RNA", at positions 569 to 1027 of the family's 1831-position model. The record is from RNAcentral. Lineage: Eukaryota; Fungi; Glomeromycota.